RNAcentral lists this ribosomal RNA (519 nucleotides) under uncultured bacterium. Its description in RNAcentral is "bacterial SSU rRNA". It matches the Rfam family "Bacterial small subunit ribosomal RNA", at positions 28 to 526 of the family's 1533-position model. The record is from RNAcentral.
GACGAACGCUGGCGGCGUGCCUAACACAUGCAAGUCGAACGGAGUUUCCAUUUAUGGAUUCUUAGUGGCGAACGGGUGAGUAACGCGUAGACAACCUGCCUUCUAGAUGGGGACAACACCGCGAAAGUGGUGCUAAUACCGAAUGUUGCAGCGAGAAUGCAUAUUCUUGCUGCUAAAGAUGGCCUCUAUUUAUAAGCUAUCGCUAGAAGAUGGGUCUGCGUCUGAUUAGCUAGUUGGUGAGGUAAUGGCUCACCAAGGCGACGAUCAGUAGCCGGUCUGAGAGGAUGAACGGCCACACUGGGACUGAGACACGGCCCAGACUCCUACGGGAGGCAGCAGUGGGGAAUCUUCCGCAAUGGACGAAAGUCUGACGGAGCAACGCCGCGUGAGUGAAGAAGGUUUUCGGAUCGUAAAACUCUGUUUUCAGGGACGAAUGUGCUGAUUGUGAAUAAUGAUCAGUAAUGACGGUACCUGAGUAGAAAGCCACGGCUAACUACGUGCCAGCAGCCGCGGUAAAAC